CCCUUAGAUGUUCUGGGCAGCACGCGCGCUACAAUGGUCUUCGCAAACGGAUGCAUUCUCGAAGGAGAAUGCCAAUCUUGGAAUCUAUGCCUUGGUCGGGACAGUUGCUUGCAAUUUUUCGACUCGAACCAGGAAUUCCUUGUAAUCGUGAUUCAUCACAUCACGAUGAAUACGUCCCUGCCCUUUGUACACACCGCCCGUCGCACCUACCGAUUGAAUGGUCCGGUGAAAUCUCCAGACGUGGUUUUACCAUGAAAGCUGAUUGAAUCUUAUCAUUUAGAGGAAGGUGAAGUCGUAACA
RNAcentral lists this ribosomal RNA (300 nucleotides) under uncultured eukaryote. RNAcentral describes it as "partial 18S ribosomal RNA". It matches the Rfam family "Eukaryotic small subunit ribosomal RNA", at positions 1470 to 1796 of the family's 1831-position model. The record is from RNAcentral.